AGUCGCUUAGUUUAUAUUAAGACAGGGGUUUUCAAAACCCCAGAAGAAAUUGUUUCAGUGAUUG
Molecule: transfer RNA, 64 nt
Filed under: Cichlidogyrus sclerosus
Lineage: Eukaryota; Metazoa; Platyhelminthes; Monogenea; Dactylogyridea; Ancyrocephalidae
Description: tRNA-Trp
Source: RNAcentral